GAUUGCCCGAAACCAGUUUGACCGGCGAACGCGUUUAUCUAAGCCACGGGGGAUGGCAUGAUCUCAUCCUCCCCCGGCGCCGAGAGGCUGCCGCGCGCGGCGCGGCCUCCUGUCGACGAACCCAAACCCCGGCGCUUCGCGCGCCAAGGAUCACGAAAUUGUUCGGUGCGGCCCUCGGGGACUUGGAAACAAUGCCCCGCGGGUCCUGUCACCCCACACGGAAAAAGAAUGACUCUCGGCAAUGGAUAUCUCGGCUCUUGCAUCGAUGAAGAACGUAGCGAAAUGCGAUACUUGGUGUGAAUUGCAGAAUCCCGUGAACCAUCGAGUCUUUGAACGCAAGUUGCGCCCGAAGCCAUUAGGCUGAGGGCAUGCCUGCCUGGGUGUCACACAUCGUUAACCCCCGCGAAGUGUCUCCUCUCGGAGAUAGCGCGUGGUUUGUAGGUUGACCUCCCGCGAGCCGCGUCUCACGGUUGGUUGAAAAUUGGGCUCACGGUCGGGCGUGCCGUGGCAUACAAUGGUGGACGGGCAAUGCCCGAGACCAGCCACGCGCCGUCCAGUCCGGUUUGGCCCAGGGCCCCUGCGGCGUCUUCGGAUGC
RNAcentral lists this ribosomal RNA (596 nucleotides) under Alysicarpus ovalifolius. Its description in RNAcentral is "eukaryotic LSU rRNA". The stretch from base 231 to 386 matches the Rfam family "5.8S ribosomal RNA". Lineage: Eukaryota; Viridiplantae; Streptophyta; Magnoliopsida; Fabales; Fabaceae. The record is from RNAcentral.